Molecule: long non-coding RNA, 19290 nt
Organism: Orcinus orca (killer whale)
Lineage: Eukaryota; Metazoa; Chordata; Mammalia; Artiodactyla; Delphinidae
Exons: 2
Source: RefSeq, a predicted model, not a curated record
UAUCCACUCAUCUGUCAAUGGACAUUUAGAUUGCUUCCAUGUCUUGGCUAUUGUAAAUAGUGCUUCUAUGAACAUUGGGGUGCAUGUAUCUUUUCGAAGUAUGGUUUUCUCCAAAUAUAUGCUCAGGAGUGGGACUGCUGGAUCACAUGGCAACUCUAUUUUUAGUUGUUUAAGGAGCCUCCAUACUGUUCCCCAUAGUGGCUGCACCAAUUUACAUUCCCACCAACAGUGUAGGAGGGUUCCCAUUUCUUCACACCCUCUCCAGCAUUUAUUAUUUGUAGACUUUUCGAUGAUGGCCAUUCUGACCAGUGUGAGGUGAUACCUCACUGUAAUUUUGAUUUGCAUUUUUCUAAUCCAUUGCUAAUUAGCAAUGUUGAGCUUUUUUUUAUGUGUCUGUUAGCCAUCUGUAUGUCUUCUUUGGAGAAAUGUCUGUUUAUGUCUUCUGCCCAUUUUCUGAUUGGGUUUUGUUUUUCUGGUUAUUGAGCUGUAUGAGCUGUUUGUAUAUUUUGGAAAUUAAGCCCUUGUGGGUCGCAUCGUUUGCAAAUAUUUUCUCCCCGUCUAUAGGUUGUCUUGUCACUUUAUGGUUUCCUUUGCUGUGCAAAAGCUGAUAAGUUUGAUUAGGUCCCAUUUGUUUAUUUUGCUUUUAUUUCUAUUGCCUUGGCAGACUGACCUAAGAAAACAUUGCUAUGAUUUAUAUCAGAGAGUGUUUUGCCUAUGUUCUCUUCUAGGAGUUUUAUGGUGUAAUGUCUUAUAUUUAAGUCUUUAAGCCCUUUUGAGUUUAUUUUUGUGUAUGGUGUGAGGGAGUGUUCUAACUUCAUUGAUUUACAUGCAGCUUUCCAACUUUCCCAACACCAUUUGCUGAAGAGACUGUCUUUUCUCCACUGUAUAUUCUUGCCUCCUUUGUCAAAGGCUAAUUGACUGUGGGUGUGUGGGUUUAUUUCUGGUCUCUCUGUUCUGUUCCACUGAUCCAUGUUUGUUUUUGUGCCAAUACCAUGCUGUUCUGAUUACUGUAGCUUUGUAGUAUUGUCUGAAGUCUGAGAGGGUCAUGCCUCCAGCUUUGUUCUUUUUCCUCAGGAUGGCUUUGGCAAUCUGGGUCUUUCAUGGUUCCAUAUAAAUUUUAGGAUAAUUUGUUCUAGUUCUGUGAAAAAUAUCAUGGGUAAUUUGAUAGGGAUCACAUUAAAUCUGUAGAUUGCUUUGGGUAGUGUAGCCACUUUAACAAUACAGAUUCUUCCAAUCCAAGAGCAUGGGAUAACUUUCCAUUUCUUUGAAUCAUCUUCAGUUUCCUUUAUCAAGGUUUUACAGUUCUCAGAUAUAAAUCUUUCACCUCCUUGGUCAGGUUUAUUCCUAUGUAUUUUUUAAAUGUGAUUUUAAAAGGGACUUUUUUCUUACUUUCCUUUUCUGAUAUUUCACUGUUAGCGUAAAGAAAUGCAACCAAUUUCUGUAUGUUAAUCUUGUAUCCUGCUACCUUGCUGAAUUCGUUUUAUCAGUUCUAGUAGUUUUUAUGUGGCAUCUUUAGGAUUUUCUAAAUAUAGUAUCAUGUUAUCUGCAUGUAAUGACAAUUUUACCUCUUCCCUUCCAAUUUGGAUACCUUUUAUAUCAUUUUCUUUUCUGAUUGCUGUGGCAAGGAUUUCCAGUACUAUGUUGAACAGAAGUGGGCAUCCUUCUCUUGUUCCAGAUUUUAGCAGGAAGGCUUUCAGCUUUUCACCACUGAGUAUUAUGUUCACUGUUAAUUGUGUUGAGAUAUGUUCCCUCUAUACCCACUUUGGUAAGAGUUUUUAUCAUGAAUGGAUGUUGAAUUUUAUCAAGUGCUUUUUCUGUGUCUAUUGAAAUGAUCAUGUGGUUUUUGUCUUUUCUUUUGUUGAUGUGGUGUGUCACAUCAAUUGACUUGUGUAUUUUUUAAAAUCAAAUCGUAUCGGGAGAAGUAAUUUAUUUUAUGGAAAAGUUUUAAGGCUUAUCCCAUUGAAACAAAGGAAAAGUUGAACCAAAGAAAACUUUACAAUAGAUUAUAUUGCAUGAGCUCCAACAGGUAAUGGGAAAUAUAUGUACAUAUUAGAUUACAUAUACUUUGAAUAAACAAAGAAGUAUUACUAUGAUGUUAAUAUUUUCAUGUGACCAACACUGAAGGAUAAAUUAUGCUUGUAACUGGACUAUAAAUUAAUAGUUCACCUGGUUUCUCUAUGCCAAUAGAAAAGACUUCUGACUUUUGAUUAGAUAGCUAUAAGCUGCAUACUUUUUCCAAGUAAACUAAGCAGUUUUGUUUUGUUUUGAUUUGCAUAUGUUGAGCCAUCCUUGUGACCCUGGGAUCAUGGUGUAUGAUCAUUUUAAUGUUUUGUAGGAUUUGGUUUUCUAAUAUUUUUGUUGAGAAUUUUUGCAUCUAUAUUCAUCAGAGAUAUUGGCCUGUAGUUUUCUUUUUUGUUAGUGUCCUUGGUUUUGGUAUCAGGGUGAUGAUGGCUUCAUAGAAUGACUUUGGGAGUGUUCCCUCCUCUUCAGUCUUUUGGAAGAGUUUGAGAAGGAUUGGUAUAAGUUCUUCUUUGUAUGUUUGGUAGAAUUUUCCAGUGAAGCCAUCUGGUCCUGGACUUUUCUUUGCAGGGAGUUUUUUAAAUUGCAGAUUAGUGAUUGGUCUGUGCAAAUUAUCUACUCCUUCUUGAUUCAGUUUUGGUGGGCUGUAUGUUUCUAGAAACUUGUCUAUUUCUUCUAGGUUGUACAAUUUGUUGACAUAUAAUUGUUCAUAGUAUUCUCUUAUGGUUUUUAAUAUUUCUGUGGUAUCAGUUGUUAUUUCUCUUCUUUCAUUUAUUUUAUUUGGAUCUUCUUUCUUUUCAUCUUGGUGAGCCUGCCCAGAGGUUUAUCAAUUUUAUUUUUUCAAAAAACAUGCUCUUGGGACUUCCCUGGUGAUGCAGUGGUUAAGAAUCUGCCUGCCAAUGCAGGGGACAUGGGUUCGAUCCCUGGUCCGGGAAGAUCCCACAUGCCGCGGAGCAACUAAGCCCAUGUGCCACAACUACUGAGCCUGCACUCUGCAGCCCCCACACCACAACUACUGAAGCCUGUGCACCCUAGAGCCCACAUGCUGCAACUACUGAGCCCAUGCUCCACAACAAGAGGUACCACUGCAAUGAGAAACCUGUGCACCGCAACGAAGAGUAGCCCCUGCUCACCACAACUAGAGAAAGUCUGUGUGCAGCAAUGAAGACCCAACUCAGCCAAAAAAAAAAGCAACAUGCUCUUGAUUUGAUUUUUUUCUAUUGUUUUUUACUCUCUAUUUUAUUUAUUUACUCUUUGAUCUUUAUUAUUUCCUUCAUUCUGCUGACUUUAGGUUUUGUUUGUUCCUUUUCUAAUUCUUUUAGGUGGUAGGUUAGGUUGUUUGAGAUUUUUCUGUUUUUUGAUUAAGGCCUGUAUUGCUAUGAACUUCCCUCUUAGGACUGCUUUUGCUGCAUCCCAUAGAUUUUGUUUAGUUGUGUUUUCAUUGUCAGUUGUCUCAAGGUAUUUUUUAAAUUUCUUCUUUGAUUUCAUUGUUGACCCAUUGGGUUUUUUUGGAGCGUGUUGUUUAGUCUCUGUGUAAUCAUUUUUUUUCCUCGUUUCUCUUUCUGUGUUUUUUUUUUUUUUUUUUUGGUCUGCGUUGGGUCUUCACUGCUGCACAGGCUUUCUCUAGUUGCGGCAAAUGGGGGCUACUCUUUCUUGUGGUGUGCAGGCUUCUCAUUGUGGUGGCUUCUGUUCUUGCGGAGCAUGGGCUCUAGGCGUGCAGGCUUCAGUAGUUGCAGCACACAGGCUCAGUAGUUGUGAAUCGCGGGCUUAGCUGCUCCGUGGCAUGUGGGAUCUUCCCAGACCAGGGAUCGAACCUGGGUCCCCUGCAUUGGCAGGUGGAUUCUUAACCACUGCGCCACCAGGGAAGUCCCUGUGGUUGAUUUUUAGUUUCAUGCUGUUGUGGUCAGAAAAGAUGAUUGAAAUCAUUUCUACCCUCUUAAAUUUGUUGAGGUUUGUUUUGUGUAUUAGUAUGUGGUCUAUCCUAGAGAAUGUUCCAUGUGUGCUUGAAAAGAAUGUGUAUUGUUUUUUUUUGGAUGUAAUGUCCUGAAAAUAUCAGUUAAGUCUAACUGUUCUAUUGUGUCAUUUAGGAUCUCUUUUGCCUUAUUGAUUUUCUGUCUGGAAGAUCUGUCCCUUGAUGUCAGUGGGGUGUUAACGUCUCCUACUAUUAUUGUAUUCCCAUCAAUUUCUCCCUUUAUGUCUGUUAGUAUUUGUUUUAUGUAUUUAGGUGCUCCUAUAUUGGGAGCAUAUAUGUUAAGAAGUAUAAUAUCCUCUUCUUUUAUUGAUCCUUUUAUCAUUAUAUAGUGUCCUUUUUUUAAUCUUUCUUUAUAGUCUUGUUUUAAAGUCUAUUUUUUUCUGAUAUGGAUCUUGCUACACCCUCGUUCUCCUGUUAUUCCCAUUUGCAAGAAAUCUUUUUCCAUCCCCUCACUUUCAAUCUGUGUGUCCUUCGUCCUAAAGUGGAUCUCUUAUAGGCAACAUAUUGUAGGCUCUUGUUUUAUUAUCCAAUCUGCCACUCUAUGUCUUUUAAUCAGAGCAUUUAGUCCAUUAACAUUUAAGGUAAUUAAUAGAUAUGUAUUUUUUUUUGCCAUUUUAAACCUUGUUUCCCAGUUGAUUUUGUAUUUCUUCUUUGUUCCUUUCUUUUUGUUUUUCCUUUUGUGGUUUGAUGGUUAUUUUCGUAUUAUGCUUGCGUUCUCUUCUUUUUGUGAAUCUAUUGUAUGUUUUUGUUUGUGGUUACCCUGGUUUUCAAGUAUGUUAAACCAUUACUAUAUCUAUUUGCUUUAGAUUGGUAGUCAUAUAAGCUCAAACACAUUCUAAGAAAAAAAUCUAUAUUUUUCUUACUCCCAUCCCCCACAUUUUAUGAUUCUGAUAUCCUCUUUUACAUCUUCAUGCUUAUCCUUUUGCUGUUCAUUGUAGUUAUAAUCACUUCCACAAAAAAUUUUUGAUUUUUUUAAAAUCUAUAUACUGGCUUAUUUUAGUGUUUUACUUUCCUAUUGUGAUUUUCUCUUUCCUUUAUAGAUUCUUGCUUCUUUUCUAUUUAGAGAAGAUUCUCAAUCUUUCUUUCAGGAUAGAUUUAGUCUUGCUGUACUUUUAAAUUUUUGCAUGUCUGAGAAAUUCUUUCUCUCUCCUUGUAUGAUCAGGCCACCCAAGACGGUUUUUCUCCUGCUCUGUACAUCCCCUUCUCAACCAGUGCCUGCUUCACCUAUACCCUACUCACAUGACUGACCUUCCUACACAUACUUGCCCCCACCUCAGCUAGUUCUUCCUACAUAUUUGCCCCUAGCUAAUGACUGUUCUAACCUUUAGAUCAGAAUAUCUCCACCAUGAUUGAUAGCUUAUCAAAGGGGCAGUGAGGGGGUGUUCCCCUCUGCUAGUUUCCCUGGUAACCAAUAAGCCAACCUGACCUCAAUUCUCCCUAUAACGGGUAACCUUGCCCUCACCCCAGGAACAAAGAUUGCCACCAUGUCCUGCCCAUCUGCCACACACAGUGGGGUGUUGCUCCAGGACCCUGCUUCAGUCAUGUAAGAUUCCCCCAUCCGUUAAACCAUUAAUGUCUCUGUCACUGACUCGGGGCUCUUUCUUUGGUCUCAAGGAUGGACAAGUACAGAGCUUGUAGGCCUGCAGGGUGCAGCCCAACAAUUGACAAAGCCAGCAAGUAGACCCAGGAAACUCCUGUGAGCACAGAGAUAUCAGGAAAUAAGGACAGGGAAUGGAAAGUUGCAGGGACUGUCCACUAACACAUGGGGUACAAAAGUUGUGGGAGAAAUCCCAGUGUGGCCGUCCACUACACAUGGGGCCCAUAAGUUGCAGGGGAAAUCCUGGGGUGGCUAUCCACUAGUAUGUGGGGCCCUGUGGUGGCUGUCCUUGAUGAAUGAGGGCUGACAAGAGAGUAUGGAGAACAAUGGCCUAAUGGCUCUGCUACUGUAUUAAAAUGAGCCUUUUGUAAUUGGUUUGGCUUUAAUCUUGGGUGUGUGCAUGAGUGCCCCAGUAUAUGAGUCCAAAUCCUGUUGUCUCUCCUUGGUUUUGACCCUUGUUAGGGAGUCCUGGUAACUUGAGUGCUGAUGCAUGUUCCUCUGAAAGUGAUGGAUAUGAAUGUGAGUGAAUGAUAUGUACUACUGUCUAUCACUAUUAUUUGUUUAAACUGAAUUAGCUAUUCAGAAAUUGAAAAAAUUCCAUGAAAAUGUCCAAGAUGGGACUCUUGACAUUCUAAAACUGGUUUCUGCAUAUGCCAUUAGAGGAAAUUAGCUUUCUAGAAGGAAAUGGUAUUUCUCUUCCUGUGCCUUUGAGAUGUAAAUAAUCUACCUGUGAGUGAAGGGGGAAAAAGAGACCCUCUUAAACUCUAGGAAAACUGUGAGGUCUCUGUGUCUAUAUAGAUAUAUGUAUGUCUAUGUGUACCUUAUAAAUAUGAUGUGUCUCUGUCUCCAAAUGGCACGGUGAAGAUUGGUUUGUGGAUGAGCUCUGUUUAAUUGGCUUAAAAGAAAUUAAGCACUUACAUAAAUUCUCAGAAAGAUAAACUGUCCAGAAUGAAUUUCAGGUUCACAUGAUCUGGGAAAUAUUCAGUACUGAACUGAUAUCUGCUAUUGAAACUACUUAAGCUUGUUGGUUUGAUUAAUAUAGAUAUGUCUUUAGAGUCAUCAGUGUUAAGUAUAAUACUUCUGUUGUACCUAAGUUUACAAGAGGUAAAAUAAGACCUUAAUAUAUCUGUUGCAAAUCUGUCAGCAAGGAAAAUAACUUGGGGACUUCCCUGGUGGCGCAGUGGUUAAGAAUUCGCCUGCCAAUGCAGGGGACACAGGAUCGAGCCCUGGUCCGGGAAGAUCCCACGUGCUGUGGAGCAACUAAGCCAGUGUGCCACAACUCCUAAGCCUGCCCUCUGGAGCCCACAUGCCACAACUGCUGAAGCCCGUGCGCCUAGAGCCCAUCUCCACAACAAGAGAAGCCACCACAAUGAGAAGCCCAUGCACCACAACGAAGAGUAGCCCUCGCUCACCACAACUAGAGAAAGCCUGCACACAGCAGCGAAGACCCAACGCAGCCAAAAAUUAACUAAUUAAAAAAAGAAAAGAACUUGAUAUAAUGAAACUUUAAGGAAAUGUAAAUGAGAUAAGAGAUUUGGGACAAACUCUCUAGGAAUUACUAUGUUUUGGGAAUGUCUAUCUAAAAUAGUCUCUCCAGAUUUUGGCAACUUGAAACUAAAUGAAGAGAAUUCACUGACUAUCUGGGUCAUUUCAAAUAGGAUAAAAUAUUGGAACAUUAAUUGCCAGGUGGGUCUAAGUUUACCUACCUUUGCCUUCUUAGGAGAGGAAGACUAAAGCGUAAGUUUUCCAAUCAGGAAAUGCUGGUAUAAAAAAAGUUCACAAUUACUUACUCCUUGGUUUUUGCCAGAGAUUGAGGUUUUUAAGGGUUAAGAUUAUAAUGUCAUAAUUUUAGUUAUUAUAACCAAGUUUCUUUAUUGAUUACAUUGUAAUCAGAUGUUUAACUAUACCUUUUUAAGUCUUCUGUCAUUUAUAGACAAUUAUUGUUGUACUCUGAUGCUCUUGCAAAAAGUGCUCCAUCUUCAAGAAGAUUCAUAGGAAGGACUUUUUGACAAGCACAAGUCUCAGAAGUUUCAGCUCACAGUGCUGAACUGGGUAAGAAAUCAAACAAUGCUAAUGGAAAACCUGAUGAUCUCAUAAAAAGUUAAAAGGAUUGGUUACUGAGUGAACUGGUAUAUAUGGUUAUAAUUUUUAUGGUUUUUGUCUGGAGUAUUACUGGUUUUGAUCUAUGUUUUCCAGAUAUAGGGAAGCCCUUCCCUUCAAGUUAGUUAUGACUUCCAGCAAUUUGUUAAACUAUACCUUUGGGUAGAAUUGAAACAUUUUUCUUUUCUCUCUACCUGGUCCCUCCAGAAAUUGAAGACUCUUGGGUUCCAAGCAGGUGAAUGGGAAAGACUGUCUCCUGGCAUGUGCAGGAAUCUCAAUAUUUGGGGGACUUCUACAAGAGGGGACUCCACCAAGGCAGAGUUGAUGGCAGGCCUUGGUAUGGCUUUCCUGGCCUUGAGAGGCCUUUUGGGAACUCAGUCUGAGACUUCUGAGGAAUUCCACAACAGCCAGUUUGGAGGAGCCUAGGUGGCCACUGUAGGUGUGAUUUUGGACAUAUUCCUGUAUUACUGAAAACUUGUUUUCUGAACUAUAUUACAGACCUGCACAAAAACGACAGGCAGCUGUGGUUGAUAUUAUCUCAGAAUACGGAUACGGCUUGUAUUUUGCUUAAUGGUCAUGAUCUUCCCUGUGUUGUGCCUGUCAGGUGUCUUACAUUUUGUUCCUAGCCUGAGUGGAGGAAAUCUAUUUGAGGACUGAGCAGCAACAAUAACCUCACUGAGAAAAGAGUCUAAUUGCUGGGUUAAUGGCAACAGCCAAGAUGCCGUUUUUGUCUUCCUCUGGAUUUCCAUGAAAAAUCGACCUGGCUAAUGUGACCAUGUGGAGACGACUGACAGUGGCGGGGUGGGGGAGGGGCAGGGGAAGACCCUUACCAUCGUCCUGUCCCACAUGCCAGUACGUCAGAAGGACCCUGUCGGUAAACAUUACCAUGUAACACAUCAUACACUUUGACUGCCCAUGAGCCCCCCCCACCCAGGCUAUGCUGUGUGGAGUGGAAUAGGCUGGCUUCUGGACACACAUGUCCAACUAGUGUGAUUAACUGUUUUUUUGUUUGGAAAGACCUAAUGCGUCCACCCCUAACAAAACAUGGGGUAACUGCUGACUCCACCAGAAUGUAUUUUUUAGAGCCGAGGCCUUCUCCUCCCCAUGGGGGUUGCUCGGGAUUUGUGAAAAACAGGGUUGGCCUUACCUUCUUUAUAACCAGACAGGGCACUGCUGCUAUUGACUCCCUCUCCAUUACCCCAGUAAGUGCUUGGCUCCAAAAUUUGCCCACAUUCUGGCAAAUGACUGUUCUUAGCCUACUAGGUAUCUUACUCUUGAUGCUCUUUGGCUGCUGCCAUCUGUAUUUGUGGCAUCUGGCUGCAGUGCCCCCCUACACACCUGACCCCAGGGAUAUCACAGAAGAAGGGCAGACCAAGAUUGUGAGGGUCGUGCAGCGUACGUAGGGGUGGAGUGUAUGAUCAGGCCACCAAGAUGGCUGCUCUCUGCACAUCCCCUGCUCAACCAGUGCCUGCUUCACCUACACCCUACUCACAUGACUGACCUUCCUACAUACUUGCCCCCAACCCAGCUAGUGAUUGUUCUAAUCUUCAGAUCAGAAUAUCUCCACCAUGAUAACUUAUUAAUGGGGUGGUGAAGAGCAUGCCCCUCUGCUAGUUUCCCUGGUAACUGAUAAGCCAUCCUGACCUCAAUUCCCCCUAUAACUGGUAACCUCGCCCUCGCCCCAGGAACAAAGACUGCUGCCAUGUCCUACCCACUGUCUGCCACACAUGGUGGGGUGUCGUCCCAGGAUCUUGCUUCAGACAUAAAAGAUCCACCACCCUUUAAACCACUGAGGUCUCUAUCACUGACUCCAGGAUCUUUCUUUGGUCUCAAGGAUGGGCAAGUACAAGGCUUGUAGGCCUGCAGGGUGCAGCCCAACACUCCUUCUAUUGUAAAUGAUACUCUCCCUGGGUAGAGUAUCCUAGGUUGCAGAUAUUUCCCUUUCAGGACUUGGAAGGCAUCUUGCCACUCCCUCUGGCCUGCAACGUUUCUGUAGAGAAACCAGCUGAUAGCCUUAUGGAGGUUCCCUCUGUUUUUCUCUCGCUGCCUUCAGGAUGCCUGCUUUAACUUUUCCCAUUUUAAUUAUUAGAUGUCUUGGUGUAGGUCAGUUUGGGUUCAUCUUGUUUGGGACCUUCUGUGCUUCCUGUACCUGGAUAUCUGUUUCCUUCUUUAGGUUUGGGAAGUUUUCCACCAAAAUCUCUUCAAGUUCAUUUUUGAUCCCCUUUUUCUCCUUCUGGGAUCCCUAUUAUGUGUAGAUCGGCUCACUUUACAUUAUCCCAUAGGUUUCAUAUAUUGCUUUCAUUUUUUUUCAUUAGUCUGUCUGCUGUUCUGACUGGGUGAUUUCAGUUAUUUUAUCUUCCAGAUCACUUAUUCAUUCUUCUGCAUCAUUUAGUUUGCCCAUGGCCAGGACCGUCUGUGUAGGUCUGUUUUCUGCCUACCACAAUGCAGCUACUGCACUGCCCUCCGAGCCUCUGAAGCUCCCUUUCUGUCCCAGCUGAUCUCCCAGCCACUGAAGGGGCUUCCCAGAGUGAGGGAACUUCUCCUCUUUCACAGCUCCCUCCCAGGGGAGGUGCUGUCCUAAUUACUUUUUUUUUUUUUUUUUACUUUGGGACAGGUGCUGUCCUAAUUACUUCUUUUUUUUUCUUUUGUCCUACCCGGUGAUCUUUCUUACAGCUUUGGUUGUAUGAGAUCUUAUGCCAGAGUUCAGCAGGUAUUCUGUGAGAACUGUUCCACAUGUAGAUGUAUUUUUGAUGUAUUUGUGGGAGGAGGUGAGUUCCACGUCCUUCUAUCCCGCCAUCUUGACCUCCACCUGUCCUUACUGUAUAAGGUUCUUGAGGAUCAAACCUAGCGCGGUGCUCCCGUGGCCAAGGGCCAGCUCAGUUUCCAGCACAAGACGUGGUAGGAAGCAGGAGAGCCACCUGCUGGUGAAACUUCAUCCAUCAAAAUCAGCAACCAGGUUAUCUUCUUAUGUUCCAAGGACACCCCCAGAGUUUGCCCCACUUUCCUUUCAUCCCUAUAUCACUUGCCUCCAAAGAUGCUCUCCUAACUCAAUCGAAAACAGCUCUCUCAGUUCCCUCUCUUAAGCAGCACUGUCCAAUAGAACUUUCUGACAUGAUGGAAGUAUUAUUCAACUGCACUGUCCACUGUAGUUACCACAACCCAUGUGUGGCAUCGAGUACUUGAAAUGUGAUGAGAGCAACUAAAAACCUGAGUUUUUAUUUAGUUUUAAUUGUAUUUAAAUAGCUAAAUGUGGCUAGUGGCUACUGUACUUGGAUAGCACAGCAGUAAAGCAGUGGUUCUCAACCUUGUCUGUCCCCUAAAUUCACCCCAGCAGGGACCUUUUAAGAAUCCAGAUGAGCAGACCACACCCCAAAUCAAUUAAAUUAGAAUCUCGGUAUUUUUUAAGUUCUUUCUGGGUAUUUCAAACAUGUGUCCAAAGUUGAGAACCGUUGCUCUAAAACCAGUGUUUGGCAAACUAUACUGCGUAAGAACUUCCUGGGGGUCUUGUUAAAAUGCAGAUUCUGAUUCAGAGGCCUGAGGUGAGAACUGAGAUUCCACAGGUCAAACAAGCACAGGCUGCUGCCCCUGGGCCACACCGAGUACCAAGGCUCUACCCCAGCCCUUCGAAUCCUUUCACUCACGCAAACAUUAGGUACUUUCUGAGCCCAGUGGCAUGACAGUUCUGGCUUUUAGAGUUUCCAUUCUGAUCGGAGAAAUAAUAAGCUUGUAAUCUCAAACAGUGGUAAAUGCUUUGAAGUAAAUAAAACAGUGUAGUGGGAUAAGGAUGUGUGCGGCCAACUGCAGAUUUAAGGAGGUGAAUGUUUAGUUUUUGGCUUUCAGGAGCCUACAGGUGAAGAUCUAGAAAAACAUGCUCUCUGGGGAAGAGCGACAGUGAGUGUGAGGCUCCUGAGGCAAGAAAAGGCCUGGCAGAGUAACGCACAGGUGAACGGGGAGAGUGACAGAGGUGGGAAUCAGAGAAGGGCAGUGGUGGUCACGGUGAGGAGUUUGGACUGUGUUCUAACUGAACUAAAAGCCGCAGCAGGGCCUUAAGCAAGAGCAUGAGGAAUGCUGAUUUACUCUGAAGAGAUCUGCUCACUGCUGAUCUGACUUUCUGAUAGUUUUUCACAGCAUCAUUUAACUGCUAAGACUUGGUCUCCUCUUUCCCCUUUGCUGAUUUUUUUCCCCCUCACACUGUAAAAAGACAUGCAAAGAUAGGUCUCUAGGUAUAAGAAAAACCAAGGAAUCAUUUUUACUUCUGAGGAAAGCCAAACUCAGAACUACACAUUUCAGAGAAGCUAGGGUGGAGACUCUGCCACUGGAAGAAGCAGGCAAGGAACUCAGGGUUGCCCCCCUUCUCCGGAAGCUCCUGGUGGAUGACCUCCGUGGAUGGUGUCAGUAAACUGUAGCCCACCUUCCUUCUGCCAGAUUCUUGCCUUAGGCAGCAAGAGGAUUGAAGGUGUAAGAAAUAAAGAGCAGCAGGAGGAAAGAAGGGACCCAGUGGCCACCUUUUGUGUGAAAAAAAACCUGCCGAAGUGAGAGACUGCCUCUGUUUGGAGUCACAGAAAAGCCAAGCCAGAGAUCAGGACUCUGAGCUAUUGCAAAGGAGUAAGCCAACAUGGGUCUUGGUUUUCUUCUUUCUCUCAUUAAUACAAUUCCAAAACCAUUUCUAUCAGUAGCAGUUAAAUGACACUGUAGCACAGGAAGCUGUCAACCAAAUAAAUCUUAAAAUGCAUAUAAAAGGACAUGAGUUGAAUAAAUUUACACGUGGCCUCAUGAGGAUACAGGGUUAGUUGGCAGUUAUUACCUUCAAGAAAAUCCUAGGAAAGAUAUGCACCCAAAUGUUAACAGUAGUUACCUCUAGGAGAUAAUAUUAGAUGGCAGAAGGAAAAAGAAAGGUACCUUCUGCUUAACUUUCAAAAGUUAAUCAAAAUAUUAGUAGAGGUACUUCCUGGGUGGUCCAGUGGGUAAGACUCCAUGCUCCCAAUGCAGGGGGCGCGGGUUCGAUCCCUCGUCAGGGAUCUAGAUCCCGCAUGCCACAACUAAGAGCCUACAUGCCACAACUAAGACUUUGCACGCCACAACUAAAGAUCCUGCACACCACAACAAAGAUCCUGUGUGCCGCAACUAAAGACCUGGUGGAGCCAAAUAAAUAAAUAUUAAAAAAAAAAAUACUAGUAGAGAAAAAGGAGACUCCAGGAGCAUUUAACUAGAUGAUACAGCUUCUUCUACAUCAAAGGAAGGCCUGGCCUCUUGGUUAAAUCAUGUUUCCUUAAGUGCAUUUUGUACAUAUUAUUACUCUAAGAUGCUUCAUUAACAAACAAGAAUCUUUGUUCAGGUAAAUUUGUGAAGUACGAUAGCUGAUGACAUCCUGGAACACACUUUGGACCACGCUGGGCGCGGUAGGCUGCAUAAUGCCCCCCACCAGCUAUGUCACAUCUUAAGUUUCGGGACCUGUGAAUAUUUUAUGGCAAAAGGACACUUUGCAGAUAUGAUUAUGUUAAGGAUCUUGAGAUAAGAGAUUAUUAUGGACCAUCUGGUGGGCCCUCAAUGCUAUCGUAAGUGUCCAUAUAAGAGGGAAGCAGAGGGGGAUCUGACCACACAGAGAAACAAGGCAAUGGAAGCAGAGACUUGAUGCUAAGCUGCUGCUGCUAAACAAAGAGGAGGAGCCAUGAGCCACAGAAUGCAGCUCUAGAGACUGGAAAAGGAGGGGAAAGAUUCUCUCCUAGAGCCUACAGAGGGAGCAUGCGCUGCCAACACCCUGGUUUUGGCCCAGUGAAACCAUUUUGGACUUCUGACCUCCAGAACUACAAGGUAAUAAAUGUGUUGUUUUAAAGUCCCCACAUUCGUGGUAAUUCGUUACAGCAGUCAUACGGAAUGAAUACAAUGAGUUAAGGUCUAGGAAUCGGGGAAGGAGAGCAGGAAGCGUAAGAGUUAAAGUCCCACAUAGCUGGAUUGGAACUCUACUCUUCAACUUACUGACUUGGCUGUGGUCCAGCCUUCUCCAAUUCUCAGCUUCUUCACCUGAAAAUUGGGGCUAACGACUUCCUCAUGUUUAGUGUGAGUAUUCAAUGAGAAGGGAAGUAGCAGAUGGAUCGCAGGGAGUAUUCAAAUGUUGGUUCCCUUUCCCUGGCUGUUUUCUCUUCAGAGGAACUGCCAGAAACUUGUCUUCUCCCAGGCGGCUCCUACUGUGGAAGUCACACAAGGACCCAGGGUGACCCCCGAAGACCCAGGGUGAGAUCAUUGUUGGCCUUGCUCGGUAUCAUGUAUGUGCGCGCUGUGCGAAUAUCCAUCGAGAGAGGCUGAUUCAAUUGUUCUCAUCCUCUAACUACAGUUUCUGCCCAUCAUAAUAGAUAAUCAGAUGCAGGCCCAGUAACAAGAAUCAUCCCUUACCUCUUAGCUACCGUGAUGAUUAAUUUUACAUGUCAACCUGACUGGGCGAUGGGAUGCCUGGGUAUGUCUAUGAGGGUGUUUCCAGAAGAGAUCAGCAUUUGAACUGGUGAACUGAGUAACGCAGACGGCCCUCCCCAUGUGGUGGGAAUCAUCCAAUCCAUUCAGGGCCCAAAUAGAACAAAAAGGCAGAAGAAGGGCAAACUCACUCUCUCUGCUUGAGCUGAGACAUCCAUCUUCUUCCCUCAGACAGCAGCACUCCUGGUUUUACACCACCAGCUUUCCUGGAUCUCCAGCUUAUGGAGAGCAGACUGUGGGCCUUCGCAGCCGCCAUAAUCACGGAAGAUAAGAGGGCAGGAUGAGGAUCACUGCAACAGUCUGAGAAGCCACCAUGAUCUGACAGCCCUUUAAGGACAGGCCCAGUUUAUCUGGGCUGGGAAGAACAUGGAGCCCAGAAGUCUGAAUGGGCCACUGAAAGUUCAUUACAGCAACAGAAGCCUGCCCAUGUGUACUCACUGCAAAGAAGGUCAAAUCCUCUGCCUUAAACGUUUAACUUUAGCCCUAUCCUGUGUCCUCCUAUAACCCUGAGAUGUGUAUAGCUUCAAAACAUGACACUGAAAGGACUGACGGUGUGAUUUAUUUAGUUUCAGUAUACUGCAGUGGAUUACAAAUAAUCUGUACGUUUAAAAGGAAACUCUUCUGUCGUAAGAGAGCAAGCUGUAACUCAAGGACUGGAGCCGGUUUCCCCCAUCCCCGCAGCGCUGGCUCUGGCCAGUCAGCAUUCACACCAAACAGACCCGUCUAUUAAUUAGCCAAGCCCUCUCUCCCGACUGCCAGCCUUCUGAAUGGAAUGACAAGGGGCCAUGUCUUUAAAAACGUCAAGGAGCAGAAAUCUCUGCUGAUUCCCCCAGGAACCUCUAUAAAGGCAUGGGUUCUUUAAAGCAAGCUAGAGAAUGAACCUGUCAGUGGGUCGGCUCUGUGGAAGAACAAUCCUGGUCCCUCCCCCUGUUUUCCAGUAGUGUGCUAGUGGCUCUCAAAGAUUUCCCAGAAAUUUGCUUUAAGGAAAAUCACAGCUUUCUUGAUUAGCAUCUAAAAGGCACUUACGCAUAUUUUCACUUAGGAAAUUGAUUGAGCGAUGAAGAGUAACACUGAACCAUUCUCUUAUCCUGAAUGGCCAACAUUCUGGAUCUAAACUGGUAGGUGGCUGCACCGCCGCGGUCAAGAGAGCCGCUUCUCAUUAUUCCCAGGCCCGGCCGUGUUCACUGGCUUCUCUGCACGUUUUCAAAAAGCAGACUCCACGUCACCCAUCUCCACACACACAGUCUUUAGUUGUGAAUAAUAUUCAAUUGUCACACGGCCAUUCUCUCUGCCAAACCCUGAAAGGAAGAGAAGGGGUGAGGGUGAGCCAUUGCGGUAAUCCAGCCAGUGACCUGCAGAAACAGGCACUGCUCCCAGGGCUGGAGAAGAGUGCAGAGCCAAGAAGUUCUGGGAUCAAGUCCUCAACUGCAUGUAUUAACUGUGGAGCUAGACGUGGGAAAAGUAACACACUAGCCUUCGGGGAUGGGGAAAUAUUUAGGUUUCAUUUCUUACCAGUACGACUCUUAACUUCUAGUAUCUACUCUUCUAGGCUAAGGUCUAAAAAAUGUUCAGACUUUCUUAUCAAGCAUUAGAGCAUUCUCUACAAUUAUCAAUCAACCUGAUGCCUUUGAAAGUCAGUGCUAACUUAAAACUUAACUCUACAUAAUAGGCUUAUUAACCUUCUCUUACACUAAAUCUGUAAGAGCACCUACUAUUUAUACUCUGUCCACUCACGUGGGGAGUGGACCCUUUAGGCUCUCAGGUUACUCAAAGCCAAGACACUGCCCAAUCAAUAGUAGAUGAGGUUACAGGACAGCCUUGUGUCCCCUACCCCAGACCGAGGCAGGCUCUGCAUCCUAAGAGCAAGGCCCAGUCUCCAAAAAUGCACAUCUCCAGGGGGCAUCAUUCCAAAUGGGACAUACACAAUGGCCCUGCUAAGGCCUCACUCUGCCUUUUGUUCCUUUCCAAAUCCUCUCAGCAUGGAGCCCACUGGGCAUGUUAGGCCAGCUUUCUGUCCCUCUCAUCUCAUAUAGGCAUAUCCAUGGGCACUGAUCCAAAGAUUCAGGUUUAGGGAAGGGAAAGCUGGCCUCAGAGGCCCCACUGAGGCCAAAGCUGCAGAUUGCAAACAAACUGAGGGUUAUGAAUUAAUAAAACAGAGCCUUGGUUCCUACCCUGCAUUUAGGUCUGUGUUACAGCUCCUCCAGGUACCCCAUAGGGACAAGAAGGACUAGUGAAGUAUGACUAGAGAAUGCCAGAAUGAUACCAAACGCAAUACCAAAUAAAACUGUCAAAUUAACACCCACCAUCUCAUCAUCAUUCAUCCGUGUUUAUAUGUUUGCCAACACGGUGAUGGCCAUAAAUAUCUGCCAGGAGAGUAGGGGUCGGACUCUUAGAAUGGUGCACCCACGAAGUCCAAACCAAUUUUCAUACAGAAUUGGUGAAAUUAGCAACAAACUCCAAAGAAAGAACCUCAAAGUAAUGGCUAUGUGCCUGAUGCCUCAAAUCUCCUAACAGACUAGAUUUACAAACUUGCCACGGUUAGAACGCCUACGGGUGGUUUCACACUUAAUGGCUAUCACAGACUGUGAGGAAAAAGUAAUCCUACCCAUGAGAUAAACCUUUUUCAGAUAUAUGUCAGCUGUUCACAAUCCAGUCUACACAUCAAAGCCUUCUGGAGAGCUUCUGGAAAAAAAUAAAGACACUCAGCUUCCAUUCCCAGAGACGGAUACAGUGGGCCUGGGGAGGACCAGGAAUUCAUAUACUUUUCCAGGUGAUUCUGAUACACAGACGGGUUUAGGAACCUGUUCCAUAAGGACCGAAUUAUGACCAGUGUUUCUAGAGACGGGGGUUUGCUUUCACAGUUCCCAGAUCCUCACCUGACUUCUUAUAUCCACCAAAGGGCAACUCCACUGGGCUGACAUUAUAGUUGUUAAUGAAGCACAUUCCAGCCUGAAGCUCAGCCACCACUCUGUGGGCACGCUGGAUGUCCCUAUGAAGAAAAAAAUGCAUUGGUUAUUCACAGUUUCUUUUGCUACAACCUUACCAGGAAAAGUUAGACGGUCACUUCUAAGGGUCUCAAAACAUUGCCAAAUUCUUGUUUCUUCAAACUGUGUUUUAAAAUCUUAUACCAUCCAUGCAAAAUAGAUAAGGAUUUGAAUUUUACAGUCUCAUCCAAACGCAUGUAUAAAAUAAGCAGCAGCAACAAGGGUGCCAAAACAAUUCAAUGGGGGAAAAUAGUCUUUUCAACAAAUAGUGCUAGAACAACUGGAUAUACAUAUGCAGAAGAAUGAAGGAAGAUCCCUUUCUUACACUACACACAAAAAUUAACUCAAAUGGGUCACUGACCUAAAAUGUCAGAGUGAAAACCACAGAACUCUUUGAAGCAAACAGGAAUAAAUCUUCAUGACCUUCGGUUAGAUACAAUCUUCUUAGACAUGACACCAAAAGUAACAGAUACAGAAAAAAUAGAAUAAUUACACUGACAAAAUUUUAAAAUUCUGUGCUGCAAACGAGACUAUCAGGAAAGUAAAAAGACAACUCACAGAAAUGCAAAUCAAAACUGAUACAAGACACCACUGCACGACCUCUAGGAUGGCUAAAAUCAAGAGAACCGACAAUAACAAUUGCUGACUAGGAUGUGGAGAAACUGCAACCCUUAUACAUUGCUGAUGGGAAUGUAAAAUGGUAAAAUGGUACUUUGGAAAACAGUUUAGCAGUUCCUCAAAUAGUUAAACACAGAGUCACCAUAGGAUCCAGCAAUUCCACUCCUGGGUAUAUACCAGAAAUGAAAUAUACAAAUAUCCACACAAAGACUCAUAUAUGAAUGCUCAUAGGAGCAUUAUUCAUAAUAGCCAAAAAGUAGAAACAGCCCAAAUGUCUACCAAUGGGUCAAUGAAUAAACAAAAUGUGAUAUAUCCAUACAACAGAAUAUUACUCAGUAGUAGAAAGGAAUAAAGUAGUGAUACAUACUAUAACAGUAAAUGAACUUUGAGAAGAAGCCAGUGGGUGAACUAAGUGAAAGAAGCCAGUCGUGAAGGGUCACAUACUGUAUGAUUUCAUCUACGUAAAAUAUUCAAAAUAUGCAAAUCUAUAAAGACAAAGUAGAUCAGUGGUUGCCAGGGACUGGGGGGGGGGGGAAUGCAGAGUAACUGUUAUUGUUCUUAGAAUGAAGAAAAUGUUCUAAAAUUAGAUUAUGACAGUUGUACAAUCUGUAAAUAUACUAAAAACGAUUGAAUUGUACAAUUUAAAUAGGUGGAUUGUUUGGUACAUGAAUUAUCCCAACAAAGCUGUUUUAAAAUAAAAAAGGGAGUUACCCUCCUUUGUAACUGGCCUUUGUCUGUAUUUUGGUGGCGAAGCAAAGCAAGAGGAGAGACUUAUCCCACUCAAUCCUCAAAUCAAAAAAAGCAGCUCCUGGGACUUCCCUGGUGGUGCAGUGGUUAAGACUCCACACUCCCAAUGCAGGGGCCCUGGGUUCGAUCCCUGGUCAGGAAACUAGAUCCCACACGCAUGCUGCAACUAAGAGUUCACAUGUCACAACUAAAGAGCCCGCCUGCCGCAACUAAGGAGCCCACGUGCACAAUUAAGACCCGGCGCAACCAAAUAAAUAAAUAUUUUAAAAUAUACAUAUAUAUACAAAAAAAAAAAAAAGCAGCUCCUGGGAAUUCCCUGGCGGUCCAGUGGUUAAGACUCUGUGCUUUCACUGCCAAGGGCCUGGGUUCAAUCCCUGGUCGGGGAAAUAAGAUCCCGUAAGCUGUGAGGCACAGCCCAAAAAAACAAAGCAAAACAAAACAAAACAAACAAACAAAAAAGCAGCUCCUCAGAGAGGACUUUUAGGGUAGUGAAACUACUCUGUAUGAUAUUACAACAGUGAGUACAAGUUAUUAUACAUUUGUCCAAACCCAUAGAAUGCACACCAAGAGUGAACCCUAAUGUGGACUGUAGUCUUUGGGUGAUAAAGAUGUGUUCACGUAGCUUCAUCAGUUCUAACAACUGUUCCACUCUGGUGGGGGAUGUGGAUCACGGGGGAGACUAUGCAUGUGUGGGGCAGGAGGAGCUGGGAAAUCUCUGUACUUCCACACAGUUUUGCAGUGAACCUAAAAGUGCUCUUAAAAAUAAAGUCUAUUAAAAAAAAAAAAAA